This 253-nucleotide ribosomal RNA is filed under the name uncultured bacterium. RNAcentral describes it as "partial 16S ribosomal RNA". It matches the Rfam family "Bacterial small subunit ribosomal RNA", at positions 524 to 776 of the family's 1533-position model. The record is from RNAcentral.
GACAGAGGAGCCAAGCGUUGUCCGGAUUGACUGGGCGUAAAGCGCACGCAGGUGGUCGCGCAAGUGCCGUGUGAAAGCCGGCGGCUUAACUGCCGGAGGCCAUGGCAGACUGCGUAACUCGAGUCCGAGAGAGGUCCGUGGAAUUGCCGGUGUAGUGGUGAAAUGCGUAGAGAUCGGCAGGAACACCCAGGGAGAAAUCAGCGGACUGGCUCGGUGCUGACACUGAGGUGCGAAAGCGUGGGGAGCGAACUGG